Drosophila arizonae is the source of this 345-nucleotide long non-coding RNA. NCBI's taxonomy places the organism in Eukaryota, Metazoa, Arthropoda, Insecta, Diptera, Drosophilidae. The record is from RefSeq and is a predicted model, not a curated record.
UCAAAUAACGCAAAAAAUAACACAAACAAACAAAACGUAACAAAGAAACAGACUCCGACGUAUUGUAAUGAGCGACGAUCUGAAACAGUUGACAGAUUGGACAGGUGGUGCGAAAGGCGCAGUUAAAAGCAAACGCGUCAUUAUUUACGCGCUUAGGUGGGCAAAUUAUUAAGGUGCAUUCGUGGAGGUGACUCGACUCGAGUGCGACUUUAAGCAGCUGAUUGAUGGGGCAACAGAACGCCCCAAAAUCCAUCCAAGCGCCGCUUGGCCUUAAUAACUAAUGCAAAUUAAUUUAGCGACUGUCUGCGAUUGAAGUGUAUUUAUGUGGCCGUUAACUGCACUGAG